Molecule: ribosomal RNA, 510 nt
Filed under: uncultured bacterium
Lineage: Bacteria
Description: bacterial SSU rRNA
Rfam family: Bacterial small subunit ribosomal RNA
Source: RNAcentral
GAUUCUGGCUCAGGAUGAACGCUAGCGACAGGCUUAACACAUGCAAGUCGAGGGGCAGCAUAGAAGUAGCAAUACUUGGUGGCGACCGGCGCACGGGUGAGUAACGCGUAUGCAACCUACCUAUCAGAGGGGAAUAACCCGGCGAAAGUCGGACUAAUACCGCAUAAAACAGGGGCACCGCAUGGUGAUAUUUGUUAAAGAAAUUCGCUGAUAGAUGGGCAUGCGUUCCAUUAGGUAGUUGGUGAGGUAACGGCUCACCAAGCCGACGAUGGAUAGGGGAACUGAGAGGUUGGUCCCCCACACUGGUACUGAGACACGGACCAGACUCCUACGGGAGGCAGCAGUGAGGAAUAUUGGUCAAUGGGCGGGAGCCUGAACCAGCCAAGUCGCGUGAAGGAAGAAGGAUCUAUGGUUCGUAAACUUCUUUUGCAGGGGAAUAAAGUGCAGGACGUGUCCUGUUUUGUAUGUACCCUGAGAAUAAGGAUCGGCUAACUCCGUGCCAGCCGCCGC